UGGGGAAUAUUGCACAAUGGGCGAAAGCCUGAUGCAGCGACGCCGCGUGAGGGAUGACGGCCUUCGGGUUGUAAACCUCUUUCAGCAGGGAAGAAGCGAAAGUGACGGUACCUGCAGAAGAAGCGCCGGCUAACUACGUGCCAGCAGCCGCGGUAAUACGUAGGGCGCAAGCGUUGUCCGGAAUUAUUGGGCGUAAAGAGCUCGUAGGCGGUUAGUCGCGUCUGCUGUGAAAACUCGAGGCUCAACCUCGGGCUUGCAGUGGGUACGGGCUGACUAGAGUGCGGUAGGGGUGACUGGAAUUCCUGGUGUAGCGGUGGAAUGCGCAGAUAUCGGGAGGAACACCGAUGGCGAAGGCAGGUCACUGGGCCGCAACUGACGCUGAGGAGCGAAGGCAUGGGGAGCGAACAGGAUUAGAUACCCUGGUAGUCCAUGCCGUAAACGUUGGGCACUAGGUGUGGGGUCCAUUUCCACGGAUUCCGUGCCGCAGCAAAGCGCAUUAAGUGCCCCGCCUGGGGUUAGUACGGCCGCAAGGCUAAAACUUAAAGGAAUUGAC
Molecule: ribosomal RNA, 553 nt
Filed under: uncultured bacterium
Lineage: Bacteria
Description: partial 16S ribosomal RNA
Rfam family: Bacterial small subunit ribosomal RNA
Source: RNAcentral